Molecule: ribosomal RNA, 523 nt
Filed under: uncultured bacterium
Lineage: Bacteria
Description: bacterial SSU rRNA
Rfam family: Bacterial small subunit ribosomal RNA
Source: RNAcentral
UCAGGACGAACGCUGGCGGCGUGCCUAAUACAUGCAAGUCGAACGGUCUUUUCUAUGGAAGCUUGCUUCCACUGAAAAGAUAGUGGCGAACGGGUGAGUAACACGUGGGUAACCUGCCCAUAAGAGGGGGAUAACAUCCGGAAACGGGUGCUAAUACCGCAUAGUUUUCUUGAUCGCAUGAUCGGGAAAGGAAAGACGGCCUUUGUGCUGUCGCUUAUGGAUGGACCCGCGGCGUAUUAGUUAGUUGGUGAGGUAACGGCUCACCAAGACGAUGAUACGUAGCCGACCUGAGAGGGUGAUCGGCCACAUUGGGACUGAGACACGGCCCAAACUCCUACGGGAGGCAGCAGUAGGGAAUCUUCCGCAAUGGACGAAAGUCUGACGGAGCAACGCCGCGUGAGUGAAGAAAAGGUUUUCGGAUCGUAAAACUCUGUUGUCAGAGAAGAACAAGUUGGAGAGUAACUGCUCCAGCCUUGACGGUAUCUGACCAGAAAGCCACGGCUAACUACGUGCCAGCAGCGGC